CAUCUGAAGAACUGCUGAUAAUCCACGAGCCUAAGAUUGAGUUUUCAGAAUUUGGAUUUCCUCAGGACUACUGCUUCACAUUGGGUUUCUUUUUUUUGUUGGAUACAAGAACUUUCAAAGGUUUUGUCAAGAACAAGUUGAAGAAUUUUUUUAUUAGAUUUUUGGGGCUACAUCUGACCAUUGGGGAAAAUUGGAUUUUUACCAUGUUUUCCACACAAAGAAGAAAUGGAUCAAUCCAGGAAAAGGGGUACAAGCCUCACUCUGUCUCCUUGCAAAUUUAAAAAGUUCACUUAGACACAGUUAUAGGGAAGAUAUAGGGACAGAUAUUUUGUGAAAUCCAAAUUCUUUUGCAUAGUCAUUCACAUUUUCAAACAUAUGUAUGAUCUCUUGUGUGAAUUGCAAGGGAUCUGAGCUUGUGCCGCAUGCAUGGUAGAGGGCGCAAUAAUGUCACACAGAGAGAACGUGUUAAGCCAACCACAUUAAAAAAGACAGAAGUGCUCAGUGUUUGCGGGAGGAAACACGAGCAUGUCUUUUCAUGUUAAAGUUGUUAUCCAACUACAGCCAGCACAUCAACAACUUAAUCCUCAUUAUCAUCCGCCAUGGUUGUUGUUUUUCUUCCUGCUUGAGCGUAUGAAGUCACAGCAUAGUGAUGUUUGUUGAAUAUCAAUGACAUUCGGGUCAGAUGAAUCAUGGGAUUUAUGCGACCUGACGGUAUAGACACAGGUCACAUUUGAAAAGAUCAGAUAGAUAUCAGAUUUAGGACCACAUAUCCAGGUGAUCCUAAAUCCGAUAUGUUUGUGAGUUGCUUUAGAAAAAAUCCUAUCUGUGUUGUUCAGACUGUUAUGAAAAGAUCAGAUGAAGGUCACAUUAAGGGAAAAAUAAUCUGAUUUGGUCACUUCAGCUUUUUUAAUAUUGCUACAACUUUGUUUCACCAGGAACUUUUCUCCAUACAAAUUUAUAUUUCAAGCUUACAAAGUCAGGCAUAGUGAUUAAUUGUGAUUAUUCACUGAGCUAGAGUGUGACUAAUCUGAUCCUUUUUUUAAUCGAUUGACAGCACUAGUUUUAAUUCACGUCUUAUUAGAAUUACUUAGACCUUUCACUAAAUGUACUUAAUACAUUUCAGACACGACUUUCAGCAUGCAUAUUGUAUCCUCUUUUUCUUUCUAGCAGGGUUUGGGACACCAUCAGAUCUUUUACCGCCUGGCACUAUAGCAUCAUCUGUCUUGUCGAAAGCCUCCCCAUUAAAUACGAGUCAAUGCAUGAAAUUUAGUUUUUGCAUAAAAACAACUGGGCUUGAUAAAAUGACAAGAAAUGCGGAAAAAAUUACUCAACGAAGUAUCACUGCUGGGAUUAUGGCUGGAAGAUCACAAAAAAGUACAGACACUUCCAGGUCAGGUAAUCGAGCCAAGAUACUGAAGAUGAUCUCAGUCCUUGCAGAGCUGCACAAGACCUUCAACAGCACACUGAGUUCACAAAUCACUCUUAUCCCUCAUGCAAACAGCAAAAAUCCUAGAAGAAAAAGUAAAGUGCUCCCUGCUCCAGUAAAGACAACUGCUGCCUCUCUGCCAGCCUCGCAGACCACUGCUUCCAGGUCAAGCCCAGACUCUAUUGCCCUGAGUAUGCCGGGCCGAAACUUCAGGAAGUCUCUGCCACCACAGACCAAGAAGACCAACAAAAGAGUGUGUUUCUGGAAGUACUGUUCCCAGAACUGAAGUCUCCCAGCUAACACUGGUGUCCACUCAACACUAGUCACCUAUGUCUGAUCUUCCUACCGGUGAUGUCUUCUCAACUAAUGAUCAACUCAACCAUCUAUCCCAACAGAGCCAGCCACAAAUAGUUCUCUUUUCUUGUUCUGUUCCUGUUUCAUUGUCAAGAACUUUGAAUGAGCAGUGUAAGGUUAAACUUGUUAUUUUACAGUAAUGAAAUGGUUACAUAGAGGUUAUCAAUAGUGCAAACAGAAUACCUGCUACAACAAUAAGUUGACUGUAUAUAAAAUGGUGAAUGUAUCCUUUCCUCUGCUGUGUCUUUUCUCUGACUUGUGCUAGGAGACUGUUGCCAGGCUUCAGAAAGCACCAUGUCUACCCUCAGGCUGGCGCCAGUCUUGACUUGGCCCUUUUCAUUUACUCAUUUAUUAACAAGACUGACCAAUCAAAAACAGACGAUGUGUGCUCGUGGUCUGGGCACAUGAACAGAUAGCUUUGUUAACCACAUUCUGUUAAAGGAUGGGCACAUGUCAGUUUUGUGUUUGUGCCAUGUUUAAAAUAAAAUUCAUCUGUUGCAUGACAAACAGCAGCCAUGGCGACAAUGUAUGAAAAAUGUCAUCAGCUUUCUGUAGUUUCACUGUCAGUUUGAUUCAAACUUUCAUGAUUUUAAAACUGAUGUUGCUGUAUAAAAAGUUGCCCUUUUGGAGUAUUUAGUAGAGUUUAAUUCCAAAAGUUUUAUUUACAAACUGGAACAAAAAUAAAACACAUUCCAUGAUGCUCCUUCA
Molecule: long non-coding RNA, 2488 nt
Organism: Xiphophorus hellerii (green swordtail)
Lineage: Eukaryota; Metazoa; Chordata; Actinopteri; Cyprinodontiformes; Poeciliidae
Exons: 4
Source: RefSeq, a predicted model, not a curated record